This 468-nucleotide ribosomal RNA is filed under the name uncultured bacterium. RNAcentral describes it as "partial 16S ribosomal RNA". It matches the Rfam family "Bacterial small subunit ribosomal RNA", at positions 28 to 507 of the family's 1533-position model. The record is from RNAcentral.
GACGAACGCUGGCGGCGUGCUUAACACAUGCAAGUCGAACGGAAAGGCCCUGCUUUUGUUGGGUGCUCGUGUGGCGAACGGGUGAGUAACACGUGAGUAACCUGCCCUUGACUUUGGGAAAUCUUCACGAAACUGGGGCUCAUACCGGAUAUGAGCUCUUGCUGCACGGUGGGGGUUGGAAAGUUUCGGCGGUUGGGGAUGGUCUCGCGGCUUAUCAGCUUGUUUGUGGGGUAGUGGCUUACCAAGGCUUUGACGGGUAGCCGGCCUGAGAGGGUGACCGGCCACAUUGGGACUGAGAUACGGCCCAGACUCCUACGGGAGGCAGCAGUGGGGAAUAUUGCACAAUGGGCGGAAGCCUGAUGCAGCAACGCCGCGUGCGGGAUGACGGCCUUCGGGUUGUAAACCGCUUUCGCCUGUGACGAAGCGUGAGUGACGGUAAUGGGUAAAGAAGCACCGGCUAACUACGUG